Molecule: ribosomal RNA, 237 nt
Filed under: uncultured bacterium
Lineage: Bacteria
Description: partial 16S ribosomal RNA
Rfam family: Bacterial small subunit ribosomal RNA
Source: RNAcentral
GAUCCUGGCUCAGGAUAAACGCUGGCGGCGCACAUAAGACAUGCAAGUCGAACGAACUUAACCAUUAGUUUACUAUUGGAGCGGUUAGUGGCGGACUGGUGAGUAACACGUAAGCAACCUGCCUAUCAGAGGGGAACAACAGUUAGAAAUGACUGCUAAUACCGCAUAUGCCUAAGUACCACAUGGUACAAUAGGGAAAGGAGCAAUCCGCUGAUAGAUGGGCUUGCGUCUGAUUAG